CCUACGGGAGGCUGCAGUGAGGAAUAUUGGUCAAUGGGCGCGAGCCUGAACCAGCCAAGUCGCGUGAGGGAUGAAGGUUCUAUGGAUCGUAAACCUCUUUUAUAAGGGAGUAAAGUGUGGGACGUGUCCUAUUUUGUAUGUACCUUAUGAAUAAGGAUCGGCUAACUCCGUGCCAGCAGCCGCGGUAAUACGGAGGAUCCGAGCGUUAUCCGGAUUUAUUGGGUUAAAGGGUGCGUAGGCGGGAUUUUCAGUUAACGGUGAAAGUCUGUGGGUCAAACCUAGAAGUGCCGUUGAAACUGGGGGGCUUGAGUAUGUUAGAGGCAGGCGGAAUGCGUGGUGUAGCGGUGAAAUGCUUAGAUAUCACGCAGAACUCCGAUUGCGAAGGCAGCAUACCGGCGCCCAACUGACGCUGAAGCACGAAAGCGUGGGUAUCGAACAGGAUUAGAUACCCGAGUAGUC
This 459-nucleotide ribosomal RNA is filed under the name uncultured bacterium. RNAcentral's name for it is "partial 16S ribosomal RNA". It matches the Rfam family "Bacterial small subunit ribosomal RNA", at positions 338 to 795 of the family's 1533-position model. The record is from RNAcentral.